RNAcentral lists this small RNA (86 nucleotides) under Salmonella enterica. RNAcentral describes it as "partial RtT sRNA". It matches the Rfam family "RtT RNA", at positions 1 to 84 of the family's 130-position model. From Rfam's summary of the family: This family represents a bacterial cis-regulatory element known as RtT RNA. The record is from RNAcentral. RNAcentral also lists the same sequence under 4 other names. Lineage: Bacteria; Pseudomonadati; Pseudomonadota; Gammaproteobacteria; Enterobacterales; Enterobacteriaceae.
AUAUCUCUCUGUACGGGAAGGAUGAGAAGCUUCGACUAAGGUUCGAUUCGAGCGUCAGCGAGAAAGCGUUGCCGCAGGCAACGACC